UCCCUGGAGGACUUAGUGGUUAAGCAAUGGUGCUUUCACCCCCGCAGCCCGGGUUCGAUUCCUGGCCAGGGAA
Non-coding RNA from Pangasius djambal, 73 nucleotides. The record is from the annotation of a GenBank genome assembly. NCBI's taxonomy places the organism in Eukaryota, Metazoa, Chordata, Actinopteri, Siluriformes, Pangasiidae.